This is a long non-coding RNA of Solanum tuberosum (potato), 435 nucleotides long. RefSeq lists it as uncharacterized. The record is from RefSeq and is a predicted model, not a curated record. The transcript is spliced from 3 exons. Lineage: Eukaryota; Viridiplantae; Streptophyta; Magnoliopsida; Solanales; Solanaceae.
UACCCCUUUCUAUAUCUAUCCCUAUUCUCCUUGCUCUUCUUAACCUUGUUUCUAAAUAUGCUUCCUCCUCUUCCUAGCUGCGUCUCCAUGAAUCUGGCUUUUGUGAUUUCUCACUUUCUCCUUUGCCCCCUUUGGGUUAUCAAUAUUCAAUCUUGGUUGUGUACAACGAUUCAACUUCUGCGGCUUCAAAAGGUGUGUGUACCGGUUCAGAAUUUCAACUCAACUCGCAGAGGAGCUUAGUCAACUGCCUCAAUGUCUUUGCCAUAAGUUUCUAGAAGUGCAAGGAGUUGAAGACUUGGUGAGUCCUCAUAGCAUCGAGGAUUUGAUCACCUUUCCUUUAUGUCUUUUAUUUUCAUGUCUUGAGACUAUUGUAUCGGCUGUGACCCAAGAGUAUUCAAAGUUGUAUUAGAUGGUUUGAGACGAGUGUAGUAAGAC